Molecule: ribosomal RNA, 1493 nt
Filed under: uncultured organism
Description: SSU rRNA
Rfam family: Bacterial small subunit ribosomal RNA
Source: RNAcentral
AUGAACGCUGGCGGCGUGCCUAAUACAUGCAAGUCGAACGAGUUCUCGUUGAUGAUCGGUGCUUGCACCGAGAUUCAACAUGGAACGAGUGGCGGACGGGUGAGUAACACGUGGGUAACCUGCCCUUAAGUGGGGGAUAACAUUUGGAAACAGAUGCUAAUACCGCAUAGAUCCAAGAACCGCAUGGUUCUUGGCUGAAAGAUGGCGUAAGCUAUCGCUUUUGGAUGGACCCGCGGCGUAUUAGCUAGUUGGUGAGGUAAUGGCUCACCAAGGCGAUGAUACGUAGCCGAACUGAGAGGUUGAUCGGCCACAUUGGGACUGAGACACGGCCCAAACUCCUACGGGAGGCAGCAGUAGGGAAUCUUCCACAAUGGACGCAAGUCUGAUGGAGCAACGCCGCGUGAGUGAAGAAGGCUUUCGGGUCGUAAAACUCUGUUGUUGGAGAAGAAUGGUCGGCAGAGUAACUGUUGUCGGCGUGACGGUAUCCAACCAGAAAGCCACGGCUAACUACGUGCCAGCAGCCGCGGUAAUACGUAGGCGGCAAGCGUUAUCCGGAUUUAUUGGGCGUAAAGCGAGCGCAGGCGGUUUUUUAAGUCUGAUGUGAAAGCCCUCGGCUUAACCGAGGAAGCGCAUCGGAAACUGGGAAACUUGAGUGCAGAAGAGGACAGUGGAACUCCAUGUGUAGCGGUGAAAUGCGUAGAUAUAUGGAAGAACACCAGUGGCGAAGGCGGCUGUCUGGCCUGUAACUGACGCUGAGGCUCGAAAGCAUGGGCAGCGAACAGGAUUAGAUACCCUGGUAGUCCAUGCCGUAAACGAUGAAUGCUAGGUGUUGGAGGGUUUCCGCCCUUCAGUGCCGCAGCUAACGCAUUAAGCAUUCCGCCUGGGGAGUACGACCGCAAGGUUGAAACUCAAAGGAAUUGACGGGGGCCCGCACAAGCGGUGGAGCAUGUGGUUUAAUUCGAAGCAACGCGAAGAACCUUACCAGGUCUUGACAUCUUUUGAUCACCUGAGAGAUCAGGUUUCCCCUUCGGGGGCAAAAUGACAGGUGGUGCAUGGUUGUCGUCAGCUCGUGUCGUGAGAUGUUGGGUUAAGUCCCGCAACGAGCGCAACCCUUAUGACUAGUUGCCAGCAUUUAGUUGGGCACUCUAGUAAGACUGCCGGUGACAAACCGGAGGAAGGUGGGGAUGACGUCAAAUCAUCAUGCCCCUUAUGACCUGGGCUACACACGCGCUACAAUGGAUGGUACAACGAGUUGCGAGACCGCGAGGUCAAGCUAAUCUCUUAAAGCCAUUCUCAGUUCGGACUGUAGGCUGCAACUCGCCUACACGAAGUCGGAAUCGCUAGUAAUCGCGGAUCAGCACGCCGCGGUGAAUACGUUCCCGGGCCUUGUACACACCGCCCGUCACACCAUGAGAGUUUGUAACACCCGAAGCCGGUGGCGUAACCCUUUUAGGGAGCGAGCCGUCUAAGGUGGGACAAAUGAUUAGGGUGAA